GACGAACGCUGGCGGCGUGCUUAACACAUGCCAGUUGAACGAGAAUUUUUCGAGUGAUUUCUUCGGAAUGAUCAUGAAAAAGGAAAGUAGCGAACGGGUGAGUAACACGUGAGAAACCUGCCUUUCACAAAGGGAUAGCCUCGGGAAACCGGGAUUAAUACCUUAUGAAACCAAACACUCGCAUGAGAGAUUGGUUAAAGAUUUAUCGGUGUUAGAUGGUCUCGCGUCUGAUUAGCUAGUUGGUGGGAUAAAAGCCUACCAAGGCAACGAUCAGUAGCCGGAUUGAGAGGUUGAACGGCCACACUGGAACUGAGACACGGUCCAGACUCCUACGGGAGGCAGCAGUGGGGAAUUUUGCACAAUGGAGGAAACUCUGAUGCAGCGACGCCGCGUGAGUGAUGAAGGUCUUCGGAUUGUAAAGCUCUGUCCUUAGUGAAGAUAAUGACAGUAACUAAGAAGCAAGCCCUGGCUAAAUACGUG
This 480-nucleotide ribosomal RNA is filed under the name uncultured bacterium. RNAcentral describes it as "partial 16S ribosomal RNA". It matches the Rfam family "Bacterial small subunit ribosomal RNA", at positions 28 to 507 of the family's 1533-position model. The record is from RNAcentral.